UGGGGAAUAUUGCACAAUGGGCGCAAGCCUGAUGCAGCGACGCCGCGUGAGGGAUGGAGGCCUUCGGGUUGUAAACCUCUUUUAUCGGGGAGCAAGCGUGAGUGAGUUUACCCGUUGAAUAAGCACCGGCUAACUACGUGCCAGCAGCCGCGGUAAUACGUAGGGUGCAAGCGUUAUCCGGAAUUAUUGGGCGUAAAGGGCUCGUAGGCGGUUCGUCGCGUCCGGUGUGAAAGUCCAUCGCUUAACGGUG
This 250-nucleotide ribosomal RNA is filed under the name uncultured bacterium. Its description in RNAcentral is "partial 16S ribosomal RNA". It matches the Rfam family "Bacterial small subunit ribosomal RNA", at positions 355 to 617 of the family's 1533-position model. The record is from RNAcentral.